GACAGAGGGUGCGAACGUUGCUCGGAAUCACUGGGCGUAAAGCGCGUGUAGGCGGGUGCUCAAGUCAGGUGUGAAAUCCCUGGGCUCAACCUAGGAACUGCAUCUGAAACUGGUCACCUAGAGUGCUGGAGAGGGAAGCGGAAUUCCUGGUGUAGAGGUGAAAUUCGUAGAUAUCAGGAGGAACACCGGUGGCGAAGGCGGCUUCCUGGACAGUCACUGACGCUGAGACGCGAAAGCGUGGGGAGCAAACAGG
RNAcentral lists this unclassified non-coding RNA (253 nucleotides) under uncultured Sandaracinaceae bacterium. Its description in RNAcentral is "contains 16S-23S intergenic spacer region". It matches the Rfam family "Bacterial small subunit ribosomal RNA", at positions 524 to 776 of the family's 1533-position model. The record is from RNAcentral. Lineage: Bacteria; Pseudomonadati; Myxococcota; Polyangiales; Sandaracinaceae.